This 711-nucleotide ribosomal RNA is filed under the name uncultured bacterium. RNAcentral's name for it is "bacterial SSU rRNA". It matches the Rfam family "Bacterial small subunit ribosomal RNA", at positions 54 to 766 of the family's 1533-position model. The record is from RNAcentral.
CAUGCAAGUCGAACGGGAAAUGCUUUAUUGAAACUUCGGUGGAUUUAAUUUAUUUCUAGUGGCGGACGGGUGAGUAACGCGUGGGUAACCUGCCUUAUACUGGGGGAUAACAGCCAGAAAUGACUGCUAAUACCGCAUAAGCGCACAGAACCGCAUGGUUCGGUGUGAAAAACUCCGGUGGUAUAAGAUGGACCCGCGUUGGAUUAGCUAGUUGGCAGGGCAGCGGCCUACCAAGGCGACGAUCCAUAGCCGGCCUGAGAGGGUGAACGGCCACAUUGGGACUGAGACACGGCCCAGACUCCUACGGGAGGCAGCAGUGGGGAAUAUUGCACAAUGGGGGAAACCCUGAUGCAGCGACGCCGCGUGAAGGAAGAAGUAUCUCGGUAUGUAAACUUCUAUCAGCAGGGAAGAUAAUGACGGUACCUGACUAAGAAGCCCCGGCUAACUACGUGCCAGCAGCCGCGGUAAUACGUAGGGGGCAAGCGUUAUCCGGAUUUACUGGGUGUAAAGGGAGCGUAGACGGCGCAGCAAGUCUGAUGUGAAAGGCAGGGGCUUAACCCCUGGACUGCAUUGGAAACUGUUGUGCUUGAGUGCCGGAGGGGUAAGCGGAAUUCCUAGUGUAGCGGUGAAAUGCGUAGAUAUUAGGAGGAACACCAGUGGCGAAGGCGGCUUACUGGACGGUAACUGACGUUGAGGCUCGAAAGCGUGGGG